UCAGUGGGGCGGCUUGCCGCUGGCCGUCGGCAUUCGUGCCGAAGACGAGAGGAAAGUCCGGGCAACAUAGGGCACUCCGCUACCUAACGGGUAGAAGUCCGCGAGGGCUAGCACGUGCAGAAGAAAAGAACCGCCUCUCAGGAGGUAAGGGUGAGAAGGUGGGGUAAGAGCCCACCAGACGUAUGGCGACAUACGUGCUGUGCACACCGGAGGUUGAAAGUUCGCGUAAACCGGCGCAGCAUCGACUGCGGUCAGCCGACCGUAAGGGUGAGAAAGAGCGGCCCGCUCAAGCCGGAGGGUAGAACGAUAGAGGCGUGACGAGAGUCACGCAGUAGAUAAAUGGCAAGCGCUGCUCCAUGCAGAACAGAACCCGGCUUAUAGCCCCACUGACCCU
This 394-nucleotide RNase P RNA is filed under the name Prevotella sp. RNAcentral describes it as "RNase P RNA component class A". It matches the Rfam family "Bacterial RNase P class A". From Rfam's summary of the family: Ribonuclease P (RNase P) is a ubiquitous endoribonuclease, found in archaea, bacteria and eukarya as well as chloroplasts and mitochondria. Its best characterised activity is the generation of mature 5'-ends of tRNAs by cleaving the 5'-leader elements of precursor-tRNAs. The record is from RNAcentral. Lineage: Bacteria; Pseudomonadati; Bacteroidota; Bacteroidia; Bacteroidales; Prevotellaceae.